This 1623-nucleotide long non-coding RNA is filed under the name Phascolarctos cinereus (koala). RNAcentral describes it as "lncRNA (ENSPCIG00000033875.1)". The record is from RNAcentral. Lineage: Eukaryota; Metazoa; Chordata; Mammalia; Diprotodontia; Phascolarctidae.
CGCCGCCCGAGCGCCCCGGGCCCUGGAGGCGGAGGCAGCAACCGCGGCAGGAGCAGCAGCAGCGGCCGCCGCGGGCACGGACUGAGCAGCAGCAGCCACCGCCGCCCCCAGAGCGCCGCGGCCCAGCCCCAGCCGCCCCAGCGGCCCCCUCUGGGAGCCGGCCUCGGCCAAGUCCAGCCCGGGGGCCAGUCCCGGGCCGGAGGAGCCGCCCUCCAGCCAUGGCGACCAAGGAAGAGUGGACUCAGACUGAACGCAACUCACAAGGUUAAAGCUGUCUCCAGUCUUAAUCACCCAAAAGCACAACACAGACACAAGAAAGACAGAAGCAUCAGCCCGGCCCAAGGCUUCUCUCAGGUAAGAAGGAGGACUGCCUACCAUUUUGCUUUUGCCAGUUGAUGCCUUUGAAACACACCUCACUUUCAGAUAAUCCAUCUGGCCAAAAAGUCACCUUUGCCACAAAAUGGGUAGGCUAGAAUGAGUUAUGGAGUGUGUGUGCAUUCUCCAAAUUGGGAAGUAGGGCCCUUUUCAUUGUAUAUACCUCAUCCUGCCUUUCUGAAAGCAGAAAUGCUGUGCAUGCUCACCAGGCCCUCCCCCUGCCACAAAAAUUAUCUGGCAGCAUCAUGCAGAAUAGUUUAAACUAAAGGAGACUAUACAGACAGAGAAACCAGGAGGUAGAGAAGGGAUGUGAUAGACUGAAAAAGUAACUAAAAAGCCAGUUUUCUAUUCUAUAUAUAAAAACCCAACAUACCCCUUCCAAAUAUGGAACUUACACAAAGGAAGGGAGUUUAUUGGGUUAAUGUCUCCACAUCCAGUGGGCCUCUCCAACUUUACAUCCUAUGAAUUUCUAUUUUUAAUAUCAUUUUUCCUCACAAUUUCACCCUUUGCCUAGAUUGAUUAUAUUUAUCUUUGGUAGGAUAACUUCACAAAUUAACCACUCAAGUUUUAUUUCUGUUUUCUGUGUCUCCUUCAGUUUAUAUUUGUCUCAUUUUGUGGUACACAGAACCUUACAGCUGUUACAUUAGGCUAUCCAGCUGCAAACCUAAUUCUGUGGUAUCACUUCAGCAGCAUGAAUCUACUGAGGAAAUUACCUUUGGGAGGAACCUGCUAAUAUAUAUAUACAUACAUAUAUAUAUAUAUAAUUAUGUUGUUGUUGUAGUUUUAAAAAUAUAGUUUAAAAUUCUGGCUCUUGUCCAAUUCAGAACUAAUACCAAGAACUUAAUUUCUGAUGUGAUCAUUUUCUUUAUCUUUUGUUAAUCAUGCCUAUCUUGUUAGGCACCUUCAUGCAAAUCACGAUUUUCUUUAAUGAGGAUCACUGGAGUAGGUAUGUGGUGCUGUUUUUUUGUUUUUAUUUUACCAGAGUAUUGAUCAUAGUUUCAUAAAUUUAGAAAUAGAGCUGGAAGGGAAAGGACCUUACAAGUCAUUUAAUCUAGCUCCUCCACUCUCCUUUUUUCCACUUUACAGAUGAGAAAACAGAUCCAAGAAAUUUAAGUGACUUGGUCAGCGUCUUACAAGUAAUAAGCAGCAGGACCAGGAUGAUGAUAGUUAGGAGUUUUAAAAACCUGUCACUGUACCAGCAAAUACUCAGUCUUCAAACUAUAAGGAAUAAAAACCUUUCAGAAUACA